This 2922-nucleotide ribosomal RNA is filed under the name Staphylococcus aureus DAR3565. RNAcentral describes it as "bacterial LSU rRNA". It matches the Rfam family "Bacterial large subunit ribosomal RNA". Lineage: Bacteria; Bacillati; Bacillota; Bacilli; Caryophanales; Staphylococcaceae. The record is from RNAcentral.
UUAAGUUAUUAAGGGCGCACGGUGGAUGCCUUGGCACUAGAAGCCGAUGAAGGACGUUACUAACGACGAUAUGCUUUGGGGAGCUGUAAGUAAGCUUUGAUCCAGAGAUUUCCGAAUGGGGAAACCCAGCAUGAGUUAUGUCAUGUUAUCGAUAUGUGAAUACAUAGCAUAUCAGAAGGCACACCCGGAGAACUGAAACAUCUUAGUACCCGGAGGAAGAGAAAGAAAAUUCGAUUCCCUUAGUAGCGGCGAGCGAAACGGGAAGAGCCCAAACCAACAAGCUUGCUUGUUGGGGUUGUAGGACACUCUGUACGGAGUUACAAAGGACGACAUUAGACGAAUCAUCUGGAAAGAUGAAUCAAAGAAGGUAAUAAUCCUGUAGUCGAAAAUGUUGUCUCUCUUGAGUAGAUCCUGAGUACGACGGAGCACGUGAAAUUCCGUCGGAAUCUGGGAGGACCAUCUCCUAAGGCUAAAUACUCUCUAGUGACCGAUAGUGAACCAGUACCGUGAGGGAAAGGUGAAAAGCACCCCGGAAGGGGAGUGAAAUAGAACCUGAAACCGUGUGCUUACAAGUAGUCAGAGCCCGUUAAUGGGUGAUGGCGUGCCUUUUGUAGAAUGAACCGGCGAGUUACGAUUUGAUGCAAGGUUAAGCAGUAAAUGUGGAGCCGUAGCGAAAGCGAGUCUGAAUAGGGCGUUUAGUAUUUGGUCGUAGACCCGAAACCAGGUGAUCUACCCUUGGUCAGGUUGAAGUUCAGGUAACACUGAAUGGAGGACCGAACCGACUUACGUUGAAAAGUGAGCGGAUGAACUGAGGGUAGCGGAGAAAUUCCAAUCGAACCUGGAGAUAGCUGGUUCUCUCCGAAAUAGCUUUAGGGCUAGCCUCAAGUGAUGAUUAUUGGAGGUAGAGCACUGUUUGGACGAGGGGCCCCUCUCGGGUUACCGAAUUCAGACAAACUCCGAAUGCCAAUUAAUUUAACUUGGGAGUCAGAACAUGGGUGAUAAGGUCCGUGUUCGAAAGGGAAACAGCCCAGACCACCAGCUAAGGUCCCAAAAUAUAUGUUAAGUGGAAAAGGAUGUGGCGUUGCCCAGACAACUAGGAUGUUGGCUUAGAAGCAGCCAUCAUUUAAAGAGUGCGUAAUAGCUCACUAGUCGAGUGACACUGCGCCGAAAAUGUACCGGGGCUAAACAUAUUACCGAAGCUGUGGAUUGUCCUUUGGACAAUGGUAGGAGAGCGUUCUAAGGGCGUUGAAGCAUGAUCGUAAGGACAUGUGGAGCGCUUAGAAGUGAGAAUGCCGGUGUGAGUAGCGAAAGACGGGUGAGAAUCCCGUCCACCGAUUGACUAAGGUUUCCAGAGGAAGGCUCGUCCGCUCUGGGUUAGUCGGGUCCUAAGCUGAGGCCGACAGGCGUAGGCGAUGGAUAACAGGUUGAUAUUCCUGUACCACCUAUAAUCGUUUUAAUCGAUGGGGGGACGCAGUAGGAUAGGCGAAGCGUGCGAUUGGAUUGCACGUCUAAGCAGUAAGGCUGAGUAUUAGGCAAAUCCGGUACUCGUUAAGGCUGAGCUGUGAUGGGGAGAAGACAUUGUGUCUUCGAGUCGUUGAUUUCACACUGCCGAGAAAAGCCUCUAGAUAGAAAAUAGGUGCCCGUACCGCAAACCGACACAGGUAGUCAAGAUGAGAAUUCUAAGGUGAGCGAGCGAACUCUCGUUAAGGAACUCGGCAAAAUGACCCCGUAACUUCGGGAGAAGGGGUGCUCUUUAGGGUUAACGCCCAGAAGAGCCGCAGUGAAUAGGCCCAAGCGACUGUUUAUCAAAAACACAGGUCUCUGCUAAACCGUAAGGUGAUGUAUAGGGGCUGACGCCUGCCCGGUGCUGGAAGGUUAAGAGGAGUGGUUAGCUUCUGCGAAGCUACGAAUCGAAGCCCCAGUAAACGGCGGCCGUAACUAUAACGGUCCUAAGGUAGCGAAAUUCCUUGUCGGGUAAGUUCCGACCCGCACGAAAGGCGUAACGAUUUGGGCACUGUCUCAACGAGAGACUCGGUGAAAUCAUAGUACCUGUGAAGAUGCAGGUUACCCGCGACAGGACGGAAAGACCCCGUGGAGCUUUACUGUAGCCUGAUAUUGAAAUUCGGCACAGCUUGUACAGGAUAGGUAGGAGCCUUUGAAACGUGAGCGCUAGCUUACGUGGAGGCGCUGGUGGGAUACUACCCUAGCUGUGUUGGCUUUCUAACCCGCACCACUUAUCGUGGUGGGAGACAGUGUCAGGCGGGCAGUUUGACUGGGGCGGUCGCCUCCUAAAAGGUAACGGAGGCGCUCAAAGGUUCCCUCAGAAUGGUUGGAAAUCAUUCAUAGAGUGUAAAGGCAUAAGGGAGCUUGACUGCGAGACCUACAAGUCGAGCAGGGUCGAAAGACGGACUUAGUGAUCCGGUGGUUCCGCAUGGAAGGGCCAUCGCUCAACGGAUAAAAGCUACCCCGGGGAUAACAGGCUUAUCUCCCCCAAGAGUUCACAUCGACGGGGAGGUUUGGCACCUCGAUGUCGGCUCAUCGCAUCCUGGGGCUGUAGUCGGUCCCAAGGGUUGGGCUGUUCGCCCAUUAAAGCGGUACGCGAGCUGGGUUCAGAACGUCGUGAGACAGUUCGGUCCCUAUCCGUCGUGGGCGUAGGAAAUUUGAGAGGAGCUGUCCUUAGUACGAGAGGACCGGGAUGGACAUACCUCUGGUGUACCAGUUGUCGUGCCAACGGCAUAGCUGGGUAGCUAUGUGUGGACGGGAUAAGUGCUGAAAGCAUCUAAGCAUGAAGCCCCCCCUCAAGAUGAGAUUUCCCAACUUCGGUUAUAAGAUCCCUCAAAGAUGAUGAGGUUAAUAGGUUCGAGGUGGAAGCAUGGUGACAUGUGGAGCUGACGAAUACUAAUCGAUCGAAGACUUAAUCAA